CGAAAGCCUGACGGAGCUAGACCGCGUGAGGGAAGAAGGCCCUUGGGUCGUAAACCUCUUUUCUCGGGGAAGACCCCCGACGGUACCCGAGGAAUCAGCCUCGGCUAACUCCGUGCCAGCAGCCGCGGUAAUACGGAGGAGGCAAGCGUUAUCCGGAAUUAUUGGGCGUAAAGCGUUCGCAGGUGGCUUUUCAAGUCCGCGGUUAAAGCCCGGGGCUCAACCCCGGUUCGGCCGUGGAAACUGAAAGGCUAGAGCGCGGCAGGGGUAGAGGGAAUUCCCAGUGUAGCGGUGAAAUGCGUGGAUAUCGGGAGGAACACCAGAGGCGAAGGCGGUUCUCUAGGCUAAUCCUGACACUGAGGCACGAAAGCUAGGGGAGCG
Molecule: ribosomal RNA, 378 nt
Filed under: uncultured bacterium
Lineage: Bacteria
Description: bacterial SSU rRNA
Rfam family: Bacterial small subunit ribosomal RNA
Source: RNAcentral